This is a long non-coding RNA of Oryza brachyantha (malo sina), 587 nucleotides long. RefSeq lists it as uncharacterized. Lineage: Eukaryota; Viridiplantae; Streptophyta; Magnoliopsida; Poales; Poaceae. The record is from RefSeq and is a predicted model, not a curated record. The transcript is spliced from 5 exons.
AGUUGAUCUCACCAAAGGAUCAUCUGCAAGCCUAUUUCCUUUUGAGAAAUUUGAUGUAUGUUGGUUUGUGGAGUAACCCAGUCAAUGCUCAGGAAAUAUGAGAGUGGAGUGAAGAUGAUCCAGAUCAAUAAGAUGGUUGUAGAGAUCCUCAAGGAUCACCCAUCUUGGUACCAUGAUUGCGGAUUCAUUGAUAUCAUCCAUGUUAUCCCUACGGGUAAUGGUGGAACCAUUGAGCUCAUCUACAUGCAGACUUAUGCACCAACAACUUUGGCGGCACCACUCGACUUUUGGACGCUACUACACCAGUGGACUUGAAGAUGUGUGAAAAGGUCAUUGACUUGGUCCACUGGUGGCCCAUCUAGGCCAAACACUCUGAAUGUAUUGACUUGGUGAGUCAACCUGUGAUGCAAUUGAACUUGUUUUGGAUAGUGAUUUGUGGAUGUAAUUAGUUGAUUUUGUAACUGACUUGUGGAUAACCUAUGAUGUUUUUUUUUCUGAAUCUGUGAUAGACUGUUUUGUGAAUCUGUAUUAAAUGUGAGCUAGUGCAUGUGUGUUGAAUAUUGUUAAUUGGGCUAUAAGAUGUCAGA